UCCCUAAGGACAGACACGGGAUUUAGUAGUGAUACCAAGAACUUUUUGCUUUACCCUUCGCUGGUAAUCUGACUUCACUCGCCGGAAUAUACUUCCACCGGUAAGUCCCCUUAACUUCUUCAGGUUUAGAAAACAGUUGAGAAAAGAAAGGAAAACAAAAUUCUGGGUGAAGGGUUGUUACCAGGCACAUAAGAUUUGAGUUUCUAGAAGCAGCAAUAUCAUUUGUGUGAUAUGCCAUACCUGGUGCGGGAGAAUCUGUUUAUUGGCAAUAUUGGGGAUGCUGCAGAUGUUCUCCAGCAUGAUAUUGGUGAAAUUACACAUAUAUUAUCAGUUCUCAGCUCCGCAUCAAUUUCAUUUUUCUCAGAAUGGCGAAGGGAGAUCCUGAUCCCUACAGAAGAGAUUCGUAAGGUGUAUGUUGGGGGUUCAGGAACAGAGGAUGAUUCAGGUGAUGGGUCCAAGAGUUCUCUGGCACCAGAAAAGGUGCUGUAUUCCUUAGAGAAAGCAGGGAAGGAUUUGAAGUUUGUAAGGAUGGCUGUACCAUUCAAAGAUACAGAGAGUGAGGAUCUAUUGGAUUACUUGGAUGUUUGUUUAGAUUUUAUUGACCGAAGUAGAAAAGAAGGGUCUGUAUUGGUUCACUGCUUUGCUGGUGUAUCAAGAAGGUAAUUCUCAUUUGCCGAUUCUUUCUACUUUUGAAGUUUGCUUGUUCCCACUUUAUAGCUGAGGUACUUUUCAAAUUCCUUUUGCUGGUAGAAUAACGAGUGUUCAUUGAACUGAUGUCGGUUAUUCUGUGUCUU
RNA transcript from Coffea eugenioides, 794 nucleotides. It is a transcript of the gene named probable dual specificity protein phosphatase DDB_G0269404, with no coding region annotated. The record is from RefSeq and is a predicted model, not a curated record. The transcript has 3 exons. NCBI's taxonomy places the organism in Eukaryota, Viridiplantae, Streptophyta, Magnoliopsida, Gentianales, Rubiaceae.